ACGGGUGAGUAACGCGUGGGUAACCUACCCUGUACACACGGAUAACAUACCGAAAGGUAUGCUAAUACGGGAUAAUAUAUUUGAGAGGCAUCUCUUGAAUAUCAAAGGUGAGCCAGUACAGGAUGGACCCGCGUCUGAUUAGCUAGUUGGUAAGGUAACGGCUUACCAAGGCGACGAUCAGUAGCCGACCUGAGAGGGUGAUCGGCCACAUUGGAACUGAGACACGGUCCAA
RNAcentral lists this ribosomal RNA (232 nucleotides) under uncultured bacterium. RNAcentral describes it as "partial 16S ribosomal RNA". It matches the Rfam family "Bacterial small subunit ribosomal RNA", at positions 102 to 334 of the family's 1533-position model. The record is from RNAcentral.